This 69-nucleotide transfer RNA is filed under the name Ictidomys tridecemlineatus (thirteen-lined ground squirrel). Its description in RNAcentral is "Spermophilus tridecemlineatus (thirteen-lined ground squirrel) tRNA". It matches the Rfam family "tRNA". From Rfam's summary of the family: Transfer RNA (tRNA) molecules are approximately 80 nucleotides in length. Lineage: Eukaryota; Metazoa; Chordata; Mammalia; Rodentia; Sciuridae. The record is from Rfam by way of RNAcentral.
GGGGUUGUGGCUUAAUGGUAGAGCACUUGCCUUGCACACAUGAGGCACUGGAUUUGAUCUUCAGCACCA